RNAcentral lists this ribosomal RNA (498 nucleotides) under uncultured bacterium. RNAcentral's name for it is "partial 16S ribosomal RNA". It matches the Rfam family "Bacterial small subunit ribosomal RNA", at positions 27 to 507 of the family's 1533-position model. The record is from RNAcentral.
GGAUGAACGCUGGCGGCGUGCCUAAUACAUGCAAGUCGAGCGAACAGACGAGGAGCUUGCUCCUCUGACGUUAGCGGCGGACGGGUGAGUAACACGUGGAUAACCUACCUAUAAGACUGGGAUAACUUCGGGAAACCGGAGCUAAUACCGGAUAAUAUAUUGAACCGCAUGGUUCAAUAGUGAAAGACGGUUUUGCUGUCACUUAUAGAUGGAUCCGCGCCGCAUUAGCUAGUUGGUAAGGUAACGGCUUACCAAGGCAACGAUGCGUAGCCGACCUGAGAGGGUGAUCGGCCACACUGGAACUGAGACACGGUCCAGACUCCUACGGGAGGCAGCAGUAGGGAAUCUUCCGCAAUGGGCGAAAGCCUGACGGAGCAACGCCGCGUGAGUGAUGAAGGUCUUCGGAUCGUAAAACUCUGUUAUUAGGGAAGAACAAAUGUGUAAGUAACUAUGCCCGUCUUGACGGUACCUAAUCAGAAAGCCACGGCUAACUACAUG